GUCAUCUUGGACCAGAUAACUCAACUGCAUGUAAAUUGUGUGUAGAAUCAAAAAACCGAGAAGUAGGAUUAAGGAUUGGUCCCAUCUCCUGGCCAGAAAUUUCCAUCUUUUGCCACUCAGCCCACCUCUCUGCCAAGCCAACACUUUCAACCAUUCUCACCACUUCUGACAUCUUAGGUCGAUCCUCUGGUAAGCCAUGUGUGCAAAGUAGUGCAAUCUGCAUCAGCUGCUCUAUCUCAGCCCCCAAUCAAGCAGCAUAACAUUGUCAUCUUCAUUUGAAAGCCAAGAAAGGUCGAAUGCCUUCUGUCCAGUGAUUAGCUCUAGAAGCAUAAUUCCGUGGGCAUAAACAUCAAUCUUUUCUGAACAUCUUCCAUUAGAGAGAUAUUCUGGAGCUAUAUGCCCAAUUGUGCCAUGUACAGUAGAAAUGAUAUGGGAAUCCUUGUAGUUUAUCAGUUUAGAUACUGCAAAGUCCCCAACAAAAGCCUCAAAAUUGUCAUCCAAGAAAAUGUUUGCAGCUUUCACAUCACAAUGGAUAAUCCUUGGGUUGCAGUGUUCAUGCAAAUAAGAAAGACCUUUUGCUGAUCCCAAUGCAAUUUGCCUCCUGAUUGGCCAGUCAAGUAAAGGCUGUGAUGGACCUUGAUUUCUCAAGUGGGAUGCAACACUCCCAUUAGCCAUGUAGGGAUAAACCAGCAACCGUUCAGUUGGUGUGAUACAUAUCCCAAUUAACUUAAGGAGGUUCUGAUGCUCAGCUAUGGUGAUCAUCUUCAUUACUUUCAGGAACUGACGCUCCCCACCAGGAGUAUUCUCACUUUUCAUUCUUUUUAUAGCCACCAGAGAACCAUCUUCAAGAAUUCCCUUGUAAACUUUGCCAAAUGGUCCGAAUCCAUCUCUACCUAGAAUGUUUUCAUUGCUAAAGCCAUUUGUUGACA
This 929-nucleotide unclassified non-coding RNA is filed under the name Hevea brasiliensis (rubber tree). The record is from RNAcentral. Lineage: Eukaryota; Viridiplantae; Streptophyta; Magnoliopsida; Malpighiales; Euphorbiaceae.